AAUCCUUAUGGAGACGAUACUUACUUAUCACUUUAUUACUUGAAUGACGUGUACACUUGCACAAUUGCAUUAGUUAUUUUCAUGCAACAUUACACACUCAAGAUCUUUUCUUAUUAAAUAGUUUCCCAAGAAACGAUAUUUUAGCUAGAGAUGAUGGCCAAAUGUUAAAACGGUUGUUGGUUCAUGUGGAGUCUUAAGAAUUCAGAUUCACGAACUGGUUGGAUGUGAUCCAUGUUCUUGCUAGUUAAUCAUGAGACCCUAAGACGACAUGAUUGAUGGGUGUGAGAAUGAUCAUAGCAAUGAAAAAAUAGUUUUUCAAGGUUUUCAUACAAGACACAUGCAUCUGUCACGUGUGAAAUGAUAUGUGAAUUGUGCAGUAUACAUGGAAUCAAGUAUAAAGUGAUAAGUGAGAUCGUCUCACAGGGACC
RNAcentral lists this microRNA precursor (428 nucleotides) under Gossypium hirsutum (cotton). RNAcentral's name for it is "miR7514 stem-loop (ghr-MIR7514)". Lineage: Eukaryota; Viridiplantae; Streptophyta; Magnoliopsida; Malvales; Malvaceae. The record is from miRBase by way of RNAcentral.